CGGGGGGUAGCUCAACCUGAGCGGUCCCCAUGUGAGGGCCUCUAAAGACAAAGGGACCCUGCCAGGGGGACGGGUUGCCGGUUGGACUCCGGCCCCCUCGACCA
This 104-nucleotide transfer RNA is filed under the name Vicinamibacterales bacterium. RNAcentral describes it as "tRNA-OTHER". Lineage: Bacteria; Pseudomonadati; Acidobacteriota; Vicinamibacteria; Vicinamibacterales. The record is from RNAcentral.